Molecule: ribosomal RNA, 1215 nt
Filed under: metagenome
Description: bacterial SSU rRNA
Rfam family: Bacterial small subunit ribosomal RNA
Source: RNAcentral
AGGGGUAACAUGAUGUAGUAAUACGUUGAUGACGACCGGCGUACGGGUGAGUAACGCGUAUGCAACCUACCCUGUACCGGGGGAUAGCCCGGAGAAAUUCGGAUUAAUACCCCAUAAAGAUAUCAUGAGGCAUCUUAGGAUAUUUAAAGUUUUCGGCGGUACGGGAUGGGCAUGCGUAACAUCAGCUGGUUGGUAGGGUAACGGCCUACCAAGGCGACGAUGUUUAGGGGUCCUGAGAGGGUGAUCCCCCACACUGGUACUGAGACACGGACCAGACUCCUACGGGAGGCAGCAGUGAGGAAUAUUGGUCAAUGGGCGCAAGCCUGAACCAGCCAUCCCGCGUGCGGGAAGACGGCGCUAUGCGUUGUAAACUGCUUUUCCAGGGGAAGAAAACCCACGACGCGUCGUGGCUUGCCGGUACCCUGGGAAUAAGCAUCGGCUAACUCCGUGCCAGCAGCCGCGGUAAUACGGAGGAUGCGAGCGUUAUCCGGAUUUAUUGGGUUUAAAGGGUGCGUAGGCGGAUCAAUAAGUCAGUGGUGAAAACCCUCAGCUUAACUGGAGACUUGCCAUUGAUACUGUUAGUCUUGAGUACGGUCAAGGUAGGCGGAAUGUGUAAUGUAGCGGUGAAAUGCUUAGAUAUUACACAGAACACCGAUUGCGAAGGCAGCUUACUGGGCCAUUACUGACGCUGAUGCACGAAAGCGUGGGGAGCGAACAGGAUUAGAUACCCUGGUAGUCCACGCCGUAAACGAUGAUCACUCGCUGUUGGCGAUACACAGUCAGCGGCUAAGCAAAAGCAUUAAGUGAUCCACCUGGGGAGUACGGCCGCAAGGCUGAAACUCAAAGGAAUUGACGGGGGCCCGCACAAGCGGAGGAACAUGUGGUUUAAUUCGAUGAUACGCGAGGAACCUUACCUGGGCUUAAAUGUAGAGUGCAUGAAGUGGAAACAUUUCUUUCCAUCGGGACUCUUUGCAAGGUGCUGCAUGGUUGUCGUCAGCUCGUGCCGUGAGGUGUCGGGUUAAGUCCCAUAACGAGCGCAACCCUUAUCGUUAGUUGCCAGCGGGUCAUGCCGGGAACUCUAACGAAACUGCCGGUGUAAACCGUGAGGAAGGUGGGGAUGACGUCAAAUCAGCACGGCCCUUAUGUCCAGGGCUACACACGUGUUACAAUGGCCGGUACAGAGGGCAGUUACCUGGAGACAGGAUGCGAAUCUCC